GAAAAAAUCAUUGUGCCACGUGUCAUCAUCUUCCAGUUGGUGGUAUUAAUGGAGAAAGAUCAGAAAUAGCUGAAAUUGAAGCAGCAUCAACAAGUGAAGCUGCUCGGCUUAGAGCUGCUCUCCGGCGUGCUCCACCCGGCGCUGUUCGGGAACCUCACCAGUCUUUUGAACGGCUUACACAGACCUGUUUUGAUAAGAGCCGAGCAGCGAUUCUUCAAUUUCGGACCACGACCUAGCUAAAGGCUAAUGGUUCCAAAUGUCUGAAGUACCGAAGACUGGGCUAGCUCCUUGUUUUUUUGUCAUGUCAAAUAAAUCGUGUAUGAUUGCAACAAUAUUGGCAAAAUAUCGUUGUGCUUUAUAUUUUGAUGUACUGUGAACAAAACAAGUGCCCUAUGAGACCAUCAUGAUUUAUGCAUUUUCAAACUAAAUUUUACGACA
Long non-coding RNA from Zea mays, 438 nucleotides. RefSeq lists it as uncharacterized. NCBI's taxonomy places the organism in Eukaryota, Viridiplantae, Streptophyta, Magnoliopsida, Poales, Poaceae. The record is from RefSeq and is a predicted model, not a curated record. The transcript has 3 exons.